UAGGGAAUCUUCCGCAAUGGACGAAAGUCUGACGGAGCAACGCCGCGUGAGUGAAGAAGGUCUUCGGAUCGUAAAACUCUGUUGUCAGGGAAGAACAAGUAUCGGAGUAACUGCCGGUACCUUGACGGUACCUGACCAGAAAGCCACGGCUAACUACGUGCCAGCAGCCGCGGUAAUACGUAGGUGGCAAGCGUUGUCCGGAAUUAUUGGGCGUAAAGCGCGCGCAGGCGGUUUCUUAAGUCUGAUGUGAAAGCCCACGGCUUAACCGUGGAAGGUCAUUGGAAACUGGGAGACUUGAGUGCAGAAGAGAAGAGCGGAAUUCCACGUGUAGCGGUGAAAUGCGUAGAGAUGUGGAGGAACACCAGUGGCGAAGGCGGCUCUUUGGUCUGUAACUGACGCUGAGGCGCGAAAGCGUGGGGAUCAAACA
Molecule: ribosomal RNA, 427 nt
Filed under: uncultured Bacillus sp.
Lineage: Bacteria; Bacillati; Bacillota; Bacilli; Caryophanales; Bacillaceae
Description: bacterial SSU rRNA
Rfam family: Bacterial small subunit ribosomal RNA
Source: RNAcentral